UACAGAGGUCCCAAGCGUUGUUCGGAUUCACUGGGCGUAAAGGGUGCGUAGGUGGUGAGGUAAGUCGGAUGUGAAAUCUCCGAGCUCAACUCGGAAAUGGCAUUGGAAACUACCUUGCUUGAGGGUUGGAGGGGGGACUGGAAUACUUGGUGUAGUAGUGAAAUGCGUAGAUAUCAAGUGGAACACCAGUGGCGAAGGCGAGUCCCUGGACAACUCCUGACACUGAGGCACGAAAGCUAGGGGAGCAAACAGG
RNAcentral lists this ribosomal RNA (253 nucleotides) under uncultured bacterium. Its description in RNAcentral is "partial 16S ribosomal RNA". It matches the Rfam family "Bacterial small subunit ribosomal RNA", at positions 524 to 776 of the family's 1533-position model. The record is from RNAcentral.